This 376-nucleotide ribosomal RNA is filed under the name uncultured bacterium. Its description in RNAcentral is "bacterial SSU rRNA". It matches the Rfam family "Bacterial small subunit ribosomal RNA", at positions 29 to 416 of the family's 1533-position model. The record is from RNAcentral.
AACGAACGCUGGCGGCAGGCCUAACACAUGCAAGUCGAACGCCGUAGCAAUACGGAGUGGCAGACGGGUGAGUAACGCGUGGGAACAUACCCCCUCGGUUCGGGAAUAACUCAGGGAAACUUGAGCUAAUACCGGAUACGUCCGAUGUUUUAAUCGACCUUGGAGAAAGAUUUAUCGCCGGAGGAUUGGCCCGCGUCUGAUUAGCUUGUUGGUGAGGUAAUGGCUCACCAAGGCGACGAUCAGUAGCUGGUCUGAGAGGAUGAUCAGCCACAUUGGGACUGAGACACGGCCCAAACUCCUACGGGAGGCAGCAGUGGGGAAUAUUGGACAAUGGGCGAAAGCCUGAUCCAGCCAUGCCGCGUGAGUGAUGAAGGCC